RNAcentral lists this ribosomal RNA (738 nucleotides) under Triticum aestivum (bread wheat). RNAcentral's name for it is "partial small subunit ribosomal RNA". Lineage: Eukaryota; Viridiplantae; Streptophyta; Magnoliopsida; Poales; Poaceae. The record is from RNAcentral.
AUGUUGAUGCAAGACUACUUCGCGGAGAAUCCUACAUAUCCACCGCACCUCUUCCGGAGAAGGUACCGAAUGCGCCGAUCCCUCUUUGUCAAAAUUGUUCAAUCUUGCGAGGCAAACUGCCGGUAUUUUACUCAAAGAAGAAAUGUUGCGGGCUUAAAGGGAUUUAGUGCAUAUCAAAAAAUCUUCGCAGCAAUGCGGGUGAUUGCAUAUGGUGUUCCGGCUGACUAUGCCGAUGAGUACCUUCGCAUUGGUGAAGAUACUACAAUUGAGUCUGUGCGUAGAUUUGCAAAGGUGAUCAUCCGUGUCUUUGGUCCUGAGUAUCUUCGGGCACCCAACGAAGAUGAUACAAAGAAAUUGAUGGCAACUAAUGAGAGGAGAGGUUGGCUUGGCCUGCUAGGAAGCAUUGUUUGUAUGCAUUGGACUUGGAAAAAUUGCCCCAAGGCAUGGCAAGGAAUGUAUUGUGGCAAGUCUCGUGAUGCAACAAUUGUGCUAGAGGCCGUAGCAUCCGAGGAUUUAUGGAUUUGGCAUUGCUUUUUGGUAUGCCGGGCACUCUCAAUGAUAUCAAUGUGUUGCAACGGUCUCAUUUGUUUGCUAGGCUUGCUAGUGGUGAUGCUGCUGCUUGCAACCACACUAUCAAUGGGCAUGAAUACACAAAGGGGUACUAUCUUGCAGAUGGUCACUACUAGGGAAAACCUUAUACACAGGAGCUUACUAGUAGCGCUUUUCAAAAGUCAAUGA